GCCAAGUUAGUAUGAUUUAAGUAUGUCGAAUUUAGGUUUCGAAGGAAGGGGUAGCCCUACUUGGCU
RNAcentral lists this transfer RNA (66 nucleotides) under Ostrea denselamellosa. RNAcentral's name for it is "tRNA-Leu". The record is from RNAcentral. Lineage: Eukaryota; Metazoa; Mollusca; Bivalvia; Ostreida; Ostreidae.